UAAUAGUUAAUUAUUUUUUAAUUUUAUUAAAAUUAAUUUUAUUUUUAUUAUUUUAUAAGAAAAAUUUAUUUUUAUUAUAGUUUAUUAGUAAAGUGAUUGAAUUUUUUUUUAUAUUUUAUAAGAAAAAUUUAUUUUUUGUACCUUGUGAAUCAGGGUUAAUUAAUUUUAUAAUUAAUAUUAAUUUUUCUCGAAUUAAGAAGUUUUAAUUAAAUAUUAGUUUAAUUUUUUCAUAAAUUUUUAUAAUUUUUAAUUAGAAAUGAAAUGUUAUUCGUUUUUUAUUAUAUCUAGUUUUUUAAGAAAAAAAUUCAAUUUUAUUAUUAUUAAUUUAUUAAUUAAUUUUUAGUUAAUAAUUUUUAGUAUUUAAUUUAUAAAGGGUUGAGCUUUUAUAUAAAUUAUUAAAAAUUAAAUUUUUAUAAUUUUUGUAUGAUUUAAAUUGUUAAUCAUUUUAAUAAUUUAAUAAUUAGUUUUAUUUAGUUAUAAUAUUUAUAUAUUUUUUAAUUUUUUUAUUAAAAAAAAAAGUUUAAUUUUAUUUCUUUUUAUAUAAUGAUUAAAUUAGUAGAUUUUGUGUUUAUUAAAAAUUUAAAUAUAGGUAGUAAAAAGGAAUUCGGCAAAUGUAUUUUUCGCCUGUUUAUUAAAAACAUCUCUUUUUGAUAAUAAUUUAAAGUUUAAUCUGCUCAAUGAAAAUUAAAUUGCCGCAGUAUUUUGACUGUGCAAAGGUAGCAUAAUAAUUAGUUUUUUAAUUGGAAACUGGAAUGAAUGAUUGGACGAAAAAAUUUCUGUCUUUUUAUUAUUUUUAUUGAAUUUUACUUUUAAGUUAAAAGGCUUAAAUUUUUUUAAAAGACGAGAAGACCCUAUAGAGUUUAAUUUUUAAUUUAUUUAUUAUUAUUAGAAUUUAAUUUAAUAAUUAAUUUAAUAAUUUGGUUGGGGUGACUAGUUGAUAAAUUUAACUCUUUUAAUUUAAAAUCAAUUAUUUUUGAUUAUAUAAUCUAUAUUUUUAAUUUUAAAAUAAAUUACCUUAGGGAUAACAGCGUAAUUUUUCUUUAAAGUUCUUAUUAAAAGAAGAGUUUGCGACCUCGAUGUUGGAUUAAAAUUUAUUUUAGGUGUAGAAGCUUAAAUUUUAAGUCUGUUCGACUUUUAAAAUUUUACAUGAUCUGAGUUUAAACCGGUGUAAGCCAGGUUGGUUUCUAUCUUUAAUUUUUUAGUAUAUUUUAGUACGAAAGGACCAAAUAUAUAAUAUAAUAUUUUUUUUUGAAUAUUAUU
This 1260-nucleotide ribosomal RNA is filed under the name Curtos costipennis. RNAcentral describes it as "16S ribosomal RNA". The stretch from base 1021 to 1179 matches the Rfam family "Archaeal large subunit ribosomal RNA", at positions 2544 to 2703 of the family's 2987-position model. The record is from RNAcentral. Lineage: Eukaryota; Metazoa; Arthropoda; Insecta; Coleoptera; Lampyridae.